Molecule: transfer RNA, 67 nt
Filed under: Marmota monax (woodchuck)
Lineage: Eukaryota; Metazoa; Chordata; Mammalia; Rodentia; Sciuridae
Description: tRNA.Asp
Rfam family: tRNA (bases 4-60)
About the family: Transfer RNA (tRNA) molecules are approximately 80 nucleotides in length. Their secondary structure includes four short double-helical elements and three loops (D, anti-codon, and T loops).
Source: RNAcentral
UCAUAGCUCAGUGGUACAGUACUUGCUUAUCAUGCAAGAGGCCCUGGGUUUAAAUCUCUGCACUGCA